AGUUAAUAUCCAGCUCAAUAGAUUGUCACCAACCAUGUGCCUAGAGCUAACUGUGUUAAGAAGAGCAUGCUUCAAGUGGCUGGAGUGAGCAAUUCAACUUGUGGAGGAAUGAGAAGUGACAGUGUUGAGACAAGCAACAUAAAACCCCAGGGAUGGCUGUGGGGAUCAAGGGAGACAGUGGCCAUAGGGAUACUAUGUUAACUGCAGAUGCGGCUGUAGGAGCACUUUGCUAACUUCCAACGUGAGUUCAGACUCUUCAGGCUAUUUGGCACCCAGAUCUAUGGUGAGGUGUGACAUAUGGGAUGUAAAGUUUGACGCCUGCUCCGACUCCAGUCUUGCUAACACACACGAAACCUUUGGCAAAUCAUGACCCUGCCUUGGGGAAAAGGGCAGUCUGGGAGAGCUUCUUCAAGGCAGCCUGGCUUCAAUGCAGUCCGGGGCAUGACUGAGGUAGGCAUACGUGGUGAGGAACUGGAGGGUAACUGGGUAAAGAGCUGCAGUGUGGGCAGAGGUGUAGUGUGGGUCACAUCGCGGAUAGCCACUGGCCAAAGCAGGGAACAGAGACAGAAUGAGGA
Molecule: long non-coding RNA, 575 nt
Organism: Homo sapiens (human)
Lineage: Eukaryota; Metazoa; Chordata; Mammalia; Primates; Hominidae
Source: RefSeq, marked validated